Non-coding RNA from Chlorocebus sabaeus (green monkey), 72 nucleotides. The record is from Rfam. NCBI's taxonomy places the organism in Eukaryota, Metazoa, Chordata, Mammalia, Primates, Cercopithecidae.
GUUAAGGUGACAGUCUGGAUUUGUGUCAAACUUAGGCAUUUGUAAUUAGAGGUUCAAAUCCUCUUCUUACCA